Molecule: long non-coding RNA, 654 nt
Organism: Pipistrellus kuhlii (Kuhl's pipistrelle)
Lineage: Eukaryota; Metazoa; Chordata; Mammalia; Chiroptera; Vespertilionidae
Exons: 4
Source: RefSeq, a predicted model, not a curated record
UUCUCCAGGCCUACCCAUGCCGUUGCAAAAGGAAAGAGCACUCCUUUCUGCAACCUUCCCAUGGAACUAAGUGCAGACCAUCUGUGAGUUCUCACCAUACCUCACUCGGCUGACGUGGAGAUCAGAAUUACUGCAAAAAUACCAGGAAAGGCCUCUUCCAUUCUACUACAAAGUGUUCAAGCACCACCUUACAAAACAGACUGUGUGCUUGCUCAAUCGUUUUAUGGACUCAGGCUCAAGAACAUCAAUCAUGGCGAAAGUGACAGGAAAUAAUAAAAAGAUUAACAGCUCAACAUCAAGAAGCACCUAUGUACUGCCUAUGCGGAAAGUGUCGAAUGUGAGGCUGGCUGAGGACCAAGCUACAAGAAAACUUUAAAAUCUGUAUCAAGAUUCUAGCACUACUUCUGGCUUCUUAAAAAAAUCUCAAGCACAAAAUUGUCUUCUCUGCACCAUUAGCUGCUGUGGAUGGGUGCGCUUGGGCAAGCCCAUCGUGCAAGAGCCAUCCACCUGCCUUCUCUCAGCAGAAUGAGCUAUUUGCACUUAAUACUAUUCUCUCUCAUUCAGUUUUUUUGUGUAACCUGGGUUUCAUUUUCUGAUGUUUUUAGAAUACCCCCUAAUAUUCUAAAAGAAUUAAAAAACUUAAAUUCUAUUACA